AGUGAACGCUGGCGGUAGGCCUAACACAUGCAAGUCGAACGGCAGCACAGUAAGAGUUUGCUCUUACGGGUGGCGAGUGGCGGACGGGUGAGGAAUACAUCGGAAUCUACUUUUUCGUGGGGGAUAACGUAGGGAAACUUACGCUAAUACCGCAUACGACCUACGGGUGAAAGCAGGGGAUCUUCGGACCUUGCGCGAUUGAAUGAGCCGAUGUCGGAUUAGCUAGUUGGCGGGGUAAAGGCCCACCAAGGCGACGAUCCGUAGCUGGUCUGAGAGGAUGAUCAGCCACACUGGAACUGAGACACGGUCCAGACUCCUACGGGAGGCAGCAGUGGGGAAUAUUGGACAAUGGGCGCAAGCCUGAUGCAGCCAUACCGCGUGGGUGAAGAAGGCCUUCGGGUUGUAAAGCCCUUUUGUUGGGAAAGAAAAGCAGCAGGUUAAUACCCCGCUGUUUUGACGGUACCCAAAGAAUAAGCACCGGCUAACUUCGUG
This 492-nucleotide ribosomal RNA is filed under the name uncultured bacterium. Its description in RNAcentral is "partial 16S ribosomal RNA". It matches the Rfam family "Bacterial small subunit ribosomal RNA", at positions 29 to 507 of the family's 1533-position model. The record is from RNAcentral.